RNAcentral lists this ribosomal RNA (285 nucleotides) under Aegla sp. KACa0186. RNAcentral's name for it is "partial 12S small subunit ribosomal RNA". Lineage: Eukaryota; Metazoa; Arthropoda; Malacostraca; Decapoda; Aeglidae. The record is from RNAcentral.
UAUUUUAGUCUUGUUAGAGGAACCUGUUUUAUAAUCGAUAAACCACGUAUAUCUUACUUAUUUUAAAUAAUUUGUAUACCGUCAUUAUUAGAUAACUUUCAAAAAAUUAGUUAUUAAAAUUAAAUAAAAUUAAAUAUAUUAGAUCAAGGUGCAGUUAAUAAAUAAGAAAAAAUGGGUUACAAUAAAAUUUAUUUAAAACGAAUUAUAUAAAUGUAAAAAUAUAUGAAGGAGGAUUUAAUUGUAAUUUUUUUAUAAAAUAAUAAUAUGAUAAUAGCUCUAAAAUAU